GGGAUUUUUCUACUGGAUUCCGACCACUACAGUAGAUCAAAGGACCUUAGAGGUAAUGAAGAUUGUUUGGGACAGAUCUGCGAUUUCCUAGAUAGGAAGCCAAAACGAGCGUGGAGGAGCUGCGGCCAGAAAUUUAACAGUAAGUUCUUCAGGAUUGGAGCAGCGCUGAGGCAUUGGAAAUUGGGACUUUGAUUCGGGACGAGCACUUCGCCAUAGAGAUUGUUUAGCUCGGUCUACAUUUG
Molecule: long non-coding RNA, 242 nt
Organism: Zingiber officinale
Lineage: Eukaryota; Viridiplantae; Streptophyta; Magnoliopsida; Zingiberales; Zingiberaceae
Exons: 3
Source: RefSeq, a predicted model, not a curated record